RNAcentral lists this ribosomal RNA (253 nucleotides) under uncultured bacterium. Its description in RNAcentral is "partial 16S ribosomal RNA". It matches the Rfam family "Bacterial small subunit ribosomal RNA", at positions 524 to 776 of the family's 1533-position model. The record is from RNAcentral.
UACGUAGGGGGCAAGCGUUGUCCGGAUUUAUUGGGCGUAAAGAGCGUGUAGGCGGCUUUACAGGUCCGUUGUGAAAACUCGAGGCUCAACCUCGAGACGCCGGUGGAAACCGUAAAGCUAGAGUCCGGAAGAGGAGAGUGGAAUUCCUGGUGUAGCGGUGAAAUGCGCAGAUAUCAGGAGGAACACCCGUGGCGAAAGCGGCUCUCUGGGACGGUACUGGCGCUGAGACGCGAAAGCGUGGGGAGCAAACAGG